AGAGUUUGAUCAUGGCUCAGGAUGAACGCUGGCGGAAUGCUUUACACAUGCAAGUCGAACGGCAGCACGGGAGCUUGCUCCUGGUGGCGAGUGGCGAACGGGUGAGUAAUGUAUCGGAACGUACCCCGUCGUGGGGGAUAACUCUCCGAAAGGAGAGCUAAUACCGCAUACGACCCGAGGGUGAAAGCGGGGGACCUUCGGGCCUCGCGCGGCAGGACGAACCGAUGUGCGAUUAGCUAGUUGGCGGGGUAAUGGCCCACCAAGGCGACGAUCGCUAGCUGGUCUGAGAGGAUGAUCAGCCACACUGGGACUGAGACACGGCCCAGACUCCUACGGGAGGCAGCAGUGGGGAAUAUUGGACAAUGGGCGCAAGCCUGAUCCAGCAAUGCCGCGUGUGUGAAGAAGGCCUUCGGGUUGUAAAGCACUUUUAUCAGGAGCGAAAUACCACGGGUUAAUACCCUAUGGGGCUGACGGUACCUGAGGAAUAAGCACCGGCUAACUACGUGCCAGCAGCCGCGGUAAUACGUAGGGUGCGAGCGUUAAUCGGAAUUACUGGGCGUAAAGCGUGCGCAGGCGGUUUUGUAAGACAGGCGUGAAAUCCCCGAGCUCAACUUGGGAAUGGCGCUUGUGACUGCAAGGCUAGAGUAUGUCAGAGGGGGGUAGAAUUCCACGUGUAGCAGUGAAAUGCGUAGAGAUGUGG
Molecule: ribosomal RNA, 700 nt
Filed under: uncultured bacterium
Lineage: Bacteria
Description: bacterial SSU rRNA
Rfam family: Bacterial small subunit ribosomal RNA
Source: RNAcentral